GAAGAACUUCAGAUUGAGCCUCUUGAAACAUUUGCUCUUGGAAUUCUCCCUCUCAGGAAACUAACAGCCUGCUAUGAAGCCCAAGCCACAAAGAGAGGCCAAGGGGAAAUAAACAGAGUGUGAUUAUAUGCAAAACCUACAAGAAUGAGGACCUCCAAACUCAGUGUACAGAGUGAUUUUCUGCUGAAACAAUUGGUUGGUGUAAGAAUAUUGGAAGCCUGAACCUAGCACUGUCUGCUACUGGCCUGACGUCUUUUCCACAACAUGGGAAGAGAUUGCCUGGGAAGGAAGCCAACUCUGUGGAAAGCAUAAGAAAUAACCAAAGAAAGUGAGAGGAAUAUCCUCAUGACACUAUUUGAAUCCCUAAACCCAGCCUAAGUGAGGUUUACUCCUUGGACAACCCUCCUUCUCCAACCAGUUAUAUGAGGAUAAAUGCCCCUUUGGUCCUGUAGCUUGAGUACAUUUCUGUCACUCGCAACUUGCAAAUUUGUGACCAACAUACCUGCACGCAUGCACACACACACACACACAUUUAACAUUUGCCGUAUUGGACAUACAGGAUGGCACAUCUUAUCUGGACAGUGUUGAAGUGAACUUUUAAAAUGAAGUAAAUUUUGUUGAAUCG
Long non-coding RNA from Homo sapiens (human), 625 nucleotides. Ensembl annotates it as long intergenic non-protein coding RNA 2466. The record is from Ensembl. Lineage: Eukaryota; Metazoa; Chordata; Mammalia; Primates; Hominidae.